GGUCACGUAGCCAAGUGGUAAGGCAGAGGUCUGCAAAACCUCUAUUCGCGGGUUCGAUUCCCGCCGUGACCUCCA
Molecule: transfer RNA, 75 nt
Filed under: Candidatus Buchananbacteria bacterium RIFCSPHIGHO2_02_FULL_56_16
Lineage: Bacteria; Candidatus Buchananiibacteriota
Also listed under: 1 other name
Description: tRNA-Cys
Rfam family: tRNA
About the family: Transfer RNA (tRNA) molecules are approximately 80 nucleotides in length.
Source: RNAcentral